CCUACGGGAGGCAGCAGUGGGGAAUCUUGCGCAAUGGGCGAAAGCCUGACGCAGCAACGCCGCGUGCGGGAUGAAGGCCUUCGGGUUGUAAACCGCUUUUAACAGGAACGAAAAUGACGGUACCUGUAGAAUAAGGUGCGGCCAACUACGUGCCAGCAGCCGCGGUGACACGUAGGCACCAAGCGUUGUCCGGAUUUAUUGGGCGUAAAGAGCUCGUAGGCGGUUCGAUAAGUCGGGUGUGAAAACUCUGGGCUUAACCCAGAGACGCCACUCGAUACUAUUGUGACUAGAGUUCGGUAGGGGAGCGGGGAAUUCCUAGUGUAGCGGUGAAAUGCGCAGAUAUUAGGAGGAACACCGGUGGCGAAGGCGCCGCUCUGGGCCGAAACUGACGCUGAGGAGCGAAAGCGUGGGUAGCAAACAGGAUUAGAUACCCUGGUAGUCCACGCCGUAAACGGUGGGCACUAGGUGUGGGCUCCAACCAACGGAGUCCGCGCCGUCGCUAACGCAUUAAGUGCCCCGCCUGGGGAGUACGGCCGCAAGGUUAAACUUAAAUGAAUUGACGG
RNAcentral lists this ribosomal RNA (563 nucleotides) under uncultured bacterium. Its description in RNAcentral is "bacterial SSU rRNA". It matches the Rfam family "Bacterial small subunit ribosomal RNA", at positions 338 to 916 of the family's 1533-position model. The record is from RNAcentral.